This 172-nucleotide ribosomal RNA is filed under the name Chilorhinus platyrhynchus (flat-nosed xenocongrid eel). RNAcentral's name for it is "partial small subunit ribosomal RNA". Lineage: Eukaryota; Metazoa; Chordata; Actinopteri; Anguilliformes; Chlopsidae. The record is from RNAcentral.
CACCGCGGUUAUACGAGUGAGCUCAAGAUGAUGUAUAACGGCGUAAAGCGUGAUUAAAGACAAAAAUAAUACUAAGGCUAAACACCCCCUAAGCUGUUAUACGUUAAUGGGGAUAGGAAAACCCACAACGAAAGUAGCUUUAAUAUUUCUUGAACUCACGACCGUUGGGGCA